UGUGAGAAGAGGAGGGCGUGGCUUAAUUUGUGCAUGAGUGAUUUCAUGAGAAAUAUUUUCUCGUGUAAUAAAUGGGGCACUAAAAGAGGAUAAGGUCAAGGCACUAAGAUUGGUUGCUCAUUCAAAUUCAAACUUUGUUUUGAAUUUGAAUGGCCAACCAAUCAUCCUUAUCCACUCAUUUGGCACAUUAAAGUAGGGCAUGAGGAGGGCUUUGUGUGAGGAAAAAUUCAUGAGAACUUCCUUCUCGUGAAUUCAAAUGGGUGCAGUGGAAGUGAGGUGGCGCAGG
RNAcentral lists this long non-coding RNA (286 nucleotides) under Elaeis guineensis (African oil palm). Its description in RNAcentral is "long non-coding RNA (EGUI_LNC061766)". Lineage: Eukaryota; Viridiplantae; Streptophyta; Magnoliopsida; Arecales; Arecaceae. The record is from RNAcentral.